RNAcentral lists this ribosomal RNA (862 nucleotides) under Stanisicarion freycineti. Its description in RNAcentral is "partial 16S large subunit ribosomal RNA". Lineage: Eukaryota; Metazoa; Mollusca; Gastropoda; Stylommatophora; Helicarionidae. The record is from RNAcentral.
UUAUUACUGCAAAGAAAUAUAUAUUUAUUUAAAGUUUAUUACCUUUUGCAUAAUGGUUUAAUAAAAUAUAUUAAAAUUAUAUAUCCCGAAGUUAGAAGAUCUAAUUAUAUUAACUUAUUAGAAAUAAUUUAUAUAAUGUUUCAAAAUUAUAAAUAUAAAUAUAAUUAGGGGUGAAAGGCCUAUCAAUUCUAAAGAUAUCUGGAAUAAUUUUAAAUGUAUUUAGUACAAAUUGAGAUUUGAAUAAAAAAAUGUUAAGAUUUUUUUAAUUAUAGAAUAUUAAAUUAAAUGUAUUAUAUGAGUUAAUCCUCUAAUAUUAAUUUAUUAAAAUAAUUUAAUAUUAAGUAUAUCUAUAUAUUAAAAUUAUAUUUAAAUUUAAUUAAAUUAAGAAUUAACUAUGUUAAAAUUAGUAUAUAUUUUUUGUUUUAUUAAGGAACUCGGCUAAUUAUUAUUCACCUGUUUAUCAAAAACAUAGUCUUAUGUAUUUAUAUAAGGUGAAACCUGCCCACUGAUGUUAAAUUUAAUGGCCGCAGUACCUUGACUGUGCUAAGGUAGCAUAAUAAAUUGACUUUUAAUUGGGGCCUUGAAUGAACGGAUAAAUGGAUAAUUUCUGUCUCAAUAAAAAUUUUAUAAGUUACUUAAAAGGUGAAAAUUCCUUUAAAUAAAUUAAAUAGACGAGAAGACCCUAGGAGUUUUUAAUUUUGUUGGGGCGACAGUAUAGCAUUAUAACCUAUAUAUAAAUAUUUAUAUAAAACGAAUAAUUUUAAUAAUAAAUAAACUACCCUAGGGAUAACAGCAUAAUUUAAUUUUAAGUUUGUGACCUCGAUGUUGGACUAGGGACUUUAAAGCUAACAGUGUUAAUUGA